Molecule: ribosomal RNA, 1372 nt
Filed under: uncultured bacterium
Lineage: Bacteria
Description: bacterial SSU rRNA
Rfam family: Bacterial small subunit ribosomal RNA
Source: RNAcentral
GAUGAACGCUGGCGGCGUGCCUAAUACAUGCAAGUCGAGCGAACAGACGAGGAGCUUGCUCCUUUGACGUUAGCGGCGGACGGGUGAGUAACACGUGGGUAACCUACCUAUAAGACUGGGAUAACUUCGGGAAACCGGAGCUAAUACCGGAUAAUAUUUCGAACCGCAUGGUUCGAUAGUGAAAGAUGGCUUUGCUAUCACUUAUAGAUGGACCUGCGCCGUAUUAGCUAGUUGGUAAGGUAACGGCUUACCAAGGCAACGAUACGUAGCCGACCUGAGAGGGUGAUCGGCCACACUGGAACUGAGACACGGUCCAGACUCCUACGGGAGGCAGCAGUAGGGAAUCUUCCGCAAUGGGCGAAAGCCUGACGGAGCAACGCCGCGUGAGUGAUGAAGGUCUUCGGAUCGUAAAACUCUGUUAUUAGGGAAGAACAAACGUGUAAGUAACUGUGCACGUCUUGACGGUACCUAAUCAGAAAGCCACGGCUAACUACGUGCCAGCAGCCGCGGUAAUACGUAGGUGGCAAGCGUUAUCCGGAAUUAUUGGGCGUAAAGCGCGCGUAGGCGGUUUUUUAAGUCUGAUGUGAAAGCCCACGGCUCAACCGUGGAGGAUCAUUGGAAACUGGAAAACUUGAGUGCAGAAGAGGAAAGUGGAAUUCCAUGUGUAGCGGUGAAAUGCGCAGAGAUAUGGAGGAACACCAGUGGCGAAGGCGACUUUCUGGUCUGUAACUGACGCUGAUGUGCGAAAGCGUGGGGAUCAAACAGGAUUAGAUACCCUGGUAGUCCACGCCGUAAACGAUGAGUGCUAAGUGUUAGGGGGUUUCCGCCCCUUAGUGCUGCAGCUAACGCAUUAAGCACUCCGCCUGGGGAGUACGACCGCAAGGUUGAGACUCAAAGGAAUUGACGGGGACCCGCACAAGCGGUGGAGCAUGUGGUUUAAUUCGAAGCAACGCGAAGAACCUUACCAAAUCUUGACAUCCUUUGACCCUUCUAGAGAUAGAAGUUUCCCCUUCGGGGGACAAAGUGACAGGUGGUGCAUGGUUGUCGUCAGCUCGUGUCGUGAGAUGUUGGGUUAAGUCCCGCAACGAGCGCAACCCUUAAGCUUAGUUGCCAUCAUUAAGCUGGGCACUCUAAGUUGACUGCCGGUGACAAACCGGAGGAAGGUGGGGAUGACGUCAAAUCAUCAUGCCCCUUAUGAUUUGGGCUACACACGUGCUACAAUGGACAAUACAAAGGGCAGCGAAACCGCGAGGUCAAGCAAAUCCCAUAAAGUUGUUCUCAGUUCGGAUUGUAGUCUGCAACUCGACUACAUGAAGCUGGAAUCGCUAGUAAUCGUAGAUCAGCAUGCUACGGUGAAUACGUUCCCGGGUCU